UAUUAAAAAAUUUCAUCCGGUUGUAUUAUUAAAAAUUGGGAUAGUUGAUGGAAUAACCAGAUAGUGACACAUGGUGUGCCACGUAUACAUCAUGUUGACGUAUCGACUUUUAAUAGUGAAAAUGGAUGGAAUUUUUAAUA
Molecule: microRNA precursor, 140 nt
Filed under: Gossypium arboreum
Lineage: Eukaryota; Viridiplantae; Streptophyta; Magnoliopsida; Malvales; Malvaceae
Description: MIR7502 microRNA precursor family
Rfam family: MIR7502 microRNA precursor family
Source: Rfam by way of RNAcentral